CACCGUAUAAAUAUCCAUCUCCACCACCACCAGUUUAUAAGUACAAAUCACCUCCUCCACCAGUGUAUAAAUACAAAUCUCCUCCACCUCCACCUAAAAAGCCAUAUAAGUAUCCAUCUCCACCUCCCCCUGUUUAUAAAUACAAAUCUCCACCACCACCAGUUUACAAGUACAAAUCACCUCCUCCACCAGUGUAUAAGUACAAAUCUCCUCCACCUCCACCUAAAAAGCCAUAUAAGUAUCCAUCUCCACCUCCCCCCGUUUACAAAUACAAAUCUCCACCACCACCGGUGUACAAAUCUCCACCUCCUCCCGUUUACAAAUACAAGUCACCACCACCCCCAGUGUACAAAUACAAAUCUCCACCUCCCCCCGUUUACAAAUACAAGUCACCACCACCCCCAGUGUACAAGUACAAAUCUCCACCACCACCAGUGUAUAAAUCUCCACCACCACCCUACAAGCAUAUAUCUCCACCACCAACGCCCAAGAAACCAUACAAGUACCCAUCACCACCACCACCAGUUUAUAAAUACAAAUCUCCACCACCACCAUACAAGUACCCAUCCCCACCACCACCUCCGUACAAAUAUCCAUCACCACCACCACCAGUCUACAAAUAUAAGUCUCCCCCACCACCGUACAAGUACCCAUCACCUCCACCGCCACCAUACAAAUAUCCAUCACCACCACCUCCAGUUUACAAGUAUAAGUCCCCUCCUCCACCUGUUUAUUCACCACCUCCACCACAUUAUGUUUAUGCUUCAC
This 768-nucleotide long non-coding RNA is filed under the name Cicer arietinum (chickpea). RNAcentral's name for it is "long non-coding RNA (CARI_LNC003190)". Lineage: Eukaryota; Viridiplantae; Streptophyta; Magnoliopsida; Fabales; Fabaceae. The record is from RNAcentral.